RNAcentral lists this ribosomal RNA (540 nucleotides) under uncultured bacterium. RNAcentral describes it as "bacterial SSU rRNA". It matches the Rfam family "Bacterial small subunit ribosomal RNA", at positions 162 to 697 of the family's 1533-position model. The record is from RNAcentral.
AUUAAUACCGCAUACGCCCUGAGGGGGAAAGUGGGGGACCGUAAGGCCUCACGUUAUACGAGCAGCCGACGUCUGAUUAGCUAGUUGGUGAGGUAAAAGCUCACCAAGGCAACGAUCAGUAGCGGGUCUGAGAGGAUGAUCCGCCACACUGGGACUGAGACACGGCCCAGACUCCUACGGGAGGCAGCAGUGGGGAAUUUUGGACAAUGGGCGCAAGCCUGAUCCAGCCAUGCCGCGUGUCUGAAGAAGGCCUUCGGGUUGUAAAGGACUUUUGUCCGGGAGCAAAUCCCACUGGUUAAUACCUACCGGGGAUGACAGUACCGGAAGAAUAAGCACCGGCUAACUACGUGCCAGCAGCCGCGGUAAUACGUAGGGUGCAAGCGUUAAUCGGAAUUACUGGGCGUAAAGCGUGCGCAGGCGGUUGUGCAAGUCUGAUGUGAAAGCCCCGGGCUUAACCUGGGAACGGCAUUGGAGACUGCACGACUAGAGUGCGUCAGAGGAGGGUAGAAUUCCACGUGUAGCAGUGAAAUGCGUAGAGAU